This 495-nucleotide ribosomal RNA is filed under the name uncultured bacterium. RNAcentral describes it as "partial 16S ribosomal RNA". It matches the Rfam family "Bacterial small subunit ribosomal RNA", at positions 28 to 507 of the family's 1533-position model. The record is from RNAcentral.
GACGAACGCUGGCGGCGUGCCUAAUACAUGCAAGUAGAACGCUGAAGGAGGAGCUUGCUCUUCUGGAUGAGUUGCGAACGGGUGAGUAACGCGUAGGUAACCUGCCUGGUAGCGGGGGAUAACUAUUGGAAACGAUAGCUAAUACCGCAUAACAGUAGAUGUUGCAUGACAUUUGCUUAAAAGGUGCAAUUGCCCCACUACCAGAUGGACCUGCGUUGUAUUAGCUAGUUGGUGGGGUAACGGCUCACCAAGGCGACGAUACAUAGCCGACCUGAGAGGGUGAUCGGCCACACUGGGACUGAGACACGGCCCAGACUCCUACGGGAGGCAGCAGUAGGGAAUCUUCGGCAAUGGACGGAAGUCUGACCGAGCAACGCCGCGUGAGUGAAGAAGGUUUUCGGAUCGUAAAGCUCUGUUGUAAGAGAAGAACGAGUGUGAGAGUGGAAAGUUCACACUGUGACGGUAUCUUACCAGAAAGGGACGGCUAACUACGUG